RNAcentral lists this non-coding RNA (698 nucleotides) under Dolomedes angustivirgatus. The record is from RNAcentral. Lineage: Eukaryota; Metazoa; Arthropoda; Arachnida; Araneae; Dolomedidae.
AAAUAAUAUAAUCAAUCGAAAUAAAUUAAAUUAAUAUUAAAAUAAAAAAAUAAUUUUAUUUUAAAAAGAUCUCAUUUUAUAAAAAACAUAAAGAAUAAUUAAUAAUAUAAUUAACUAAUUAUAAGUGCCAGCAGUCGCGGUUAUUCUUAUAAUUCAUUUUACUUUCAAAUUUUAAAACACUAAAUAAUUCUUUUAUAAAAAUAUUAAGUAAAAUUCCAUUUUUUCAAAAAGAAUUAACAAUUUUUUAAAAAAAAUUUUAAAUUUAAAAUAGGAUUAGAUACCCUAGUAUAUUAAAAUAAUUUUAGGUAGUAGAAAUUUAAAUUUCAAACCUAUUUAUCAUGGCGGCAUUUCAUCUUAUUAGAGGAACUUGUUUUUUAAUCGAUAAUCCACGAUAACUUUCACUUUAAUUAAAAAUUUAUAUACCGCCAUCUAAAGAAUUAAUUCAAUGAUAUUAUUCUUAAUAAAAUAUAAAAAGUUAGGUCAAGGUGUAAUCAAUAUUAAAGUUAAAAUGAGUUACAUUAAAAAUUAAUUUAGAAUUAAAUAAUUUUAAUUAUUCAUGAAAGAGGAUUUAAAAGUAAUUUUAUAUUAAAUAAUAAUAUAUUAUGAAUUAGAUAACAAAUGUGCACAUAUCGCCCGUCACCCUUGUUACAAAAUAAGGUAAGUCGUAACAUAGUUGAUAUUUUGGAAAAAGUAUCAAG